RNAcentral lists this ribosomal RNA (450 nucleotides) under uncultured bacterium. RNAcentral describes it as "partial 16S ribosomal RNA". It matches the Rfam family "Bacterial small subunit ribosomal RNA", at positions 28 to 507 of the family's 1533-position model. The record is from RNAcentral.
GAUGAACGCUGGCGGCGUGCCUAACACAUGCAAGUCGAGCGGCAGCGCGGGGUGCUUGCACCCUGUCGGCGAGCGGCGGACGGCUGAGUAACGCGUGGGAACGUCCCCAAAGUGAGGAAUAACUGCCCGAAAGGGUAGCUAAUACCGCAUAUUAUCUUCGGAUCAAAGGAUUUAUCCGCUUUGUGAGCGGCUCGCGUCGUAUUAGGUAGUUUGUGAGGUAAUGGCGCACCAAGCCGACGAUCCGUAGCUGGUCUGAGAGGAUGACCAGCCAGACUGGAACUGGGACACGGUCCAGACUCCUACGGGAGGCAGCAGUGAGGAAUCUUCCACAAUGGGCGAAAGCCUGAUGGAGCAACGGCGCGUGCAGGACGAAGGCCUUCGGGUUGUAAACUGCUUUUAUAAGUGAGGAAUAUGACGGUAACUUAUGAAUAAGGAUCGGCUAACUACGUG